This is a long non-coding RNA of Rhododendron vialii, 289 nucleotides long. RefSeq lists it as uncharacterized. The record is from RefSeq and is a predicted model, not a curated record. NCBI's taxonomy places the organism in Eukaryota, Viridiplantae, Streptophyta, Magnoliopsida, Ericales, Ericaceae. The transcript is spliced from 2 exons.
CCUCAUCCGCGCAACAAAUCAGGGUCGCCGGAGCUUUCUCACACACAUCACACUGGAUCUUCAUGUCUUCUCAGUAUUGAACAACUUCACUUCCUUUCUCAGUUUCUCUGUUCGAUUCUAGUGAUCUCCCCUGAAAUGAUAGUAGAACAGUCACCAACACUAGUAGACAGGUGAGGCCUUGCAAUAAAACUUACCCGGGAAAUAUACUAAAACCCAGAAAGAAAGAAGUCUUUCCCAGGAAAGUUUUGCAAAACCCUGGACGGAAAAUCCAGAGAGAGAGAGAGAGAGA